RNAcentral lists this ribosomal RNA (507 nucleotides) under Picoa juniperi. RNAcentral describes it as "eukaryotic LSU rRNA". It matches the Rfam family "Eukaryotic large subunit ribosomal RNA", at positions 88 to 599 of the family's 3401-position model. Lineage: Eukaryota; Fungi; Ascomycota; Pezizomycetes; Pezizales; Pyronemataceae. The record is from RNAcentral.
UGCGAGUGAAGCGGCAAAAGCUCAAAUUUGAAAUCGGUGCGUGUGAAGCACAUCGAGUUGUAAUUUGGAGGGACAACUUCGGAUUGGACCACACCGUAAGUUUCUUGGAACAGGGCAUCAUAGAGGGUGAGAAUCCCGUCCUGGUGUAGGGUCAAACCAUGUGAAGUGUCUCCGACGAGUCGAGUUGUUUGGGAAUGCAGCUCAAAAUGGGUGGUAAAUUUCAUCUAAAGCUAAAUAUUGGCGAGAGACCGAUAGCGCACAAGUAGAGUGAUCGAAAGAUGAAAAGCACUUUGAAAAGAGAGUUAAAAAGUACGUGAAAUUGUUGAAAGGGAAGCGCUUACGACCAGACUCGAUCUUUGGUGAUCGGCCGGACCUCGGUUCGGUGCCCUCGCCAUUGAUUGGGCCAGCAUCGGUUCUAACGGUGGGAUAAAAGGAGGAGGAAUGUAGCUCCCCUCGGGGAGUGUUAUAGCCACCUUCACAAUGCCACCAGUUGGGACCGAGGACCGC